CCUACGGGGGGCACCAGCAAAGAGGGGCGCGCGGCACUUACCGCACUUGGCCUCCUCGCCCAGGCGCUCCGCGGGUACCCGGUUAACCGCAUCGCAAUGGGGACAGACAACGUGAACAGCUUGGGUCAUGGGGCUUUGCUCCUGGGGGUGAAUGAGACCCUGGCGCCGGCGGGGCGGAUGAUCCGUGACCCCGCCGGCUUGAAUCGCUCGCUUUGCAGGCCUAUUUACGGGCUUCCCAACCAAUUCCAACCGCUCGAUUCAGGAGGACGGCGCCCAUGGCCAACUCACCCUAUCUGGUCGCCGUCACGGCGCAAAACUUCCAAGAGGUGGUCCUCGAGGGCUCCUACGACCGCCCCGUCCUGGUGGACUUCUGGGGCGCCUGCUGCACCCCGUAGG
Molecule: ribosomal RNA, 396 nt
Filed under: uncultured archaeon
Lineage: Archaea
Description: partial 16S ribosomal RNA
Source: RNAcentral